This 460-nucleotide ribosomal RNA is filed under the name uncultured bacterium. Its description in RNAcentral is "bacterial SSU rRNA". It matches the Rfam family "Bacterial small subunit ribosomal RNA", at positions 29 to 506 of the family's 1533-position model. The record is from RNAcentral.
ACGAACGCUGGCGGCGUGCUUAACACAUGCAAGUCUACGAGAAAGAGGUAGCAAUAUCUUGAUUAAAGUGGCGCACGGGUGAGUAACACGUAAGCAAUCUACCCUUAGAUCCGGAAUAACUUCGAGAAAUCGUGGCUAAUACCGGGUAAUGCAGCGGCACCGCAUGGUGAUGUUGUUAAAGUUUCGAUGUCUAGGGAUGAGCUUGCGUCUGAUUAGCUAGUUGGUGAGGUAACGGCUCACCAAGGCUGCGAUCAGUAGUUGGUCUGAGAGGAUGAUCAGCCACACUGGAACUGAGACACGGUCCAGACUCCUACGGGAGGCAGCAGUGAGGAAUAUUGGGCAAUGCCCGCAAGGGUGACCCAGCAACGCCGCGUGGAGGAUGAAUGCCGUAAGGUUGUAAACUCCUUUUAUAUGUCAAGAAAAUGACGGUAGCAUAUGAAUAAGCACCGGCUAACUCCGU